ACUGCUCAGUAACACGUGGACAACCUACCCUAAGGAGGGGGAUAACCCCGGGAAACUGGGGAUAAUACCCCAUAGACUAUGGAUGCUGGAAUGCUUUGUAGUCAAAAGGUCCGCCGCCUUAGGAUGGGUCUGCGGCCGAUUAGGUUGUUGUUGGGGUAACGGCCUAACAAGCCUGUAAUCGGUACGGGUUGUGGGAGCAAGAGCCCGGAGAUGGAUUCUGAGACACGAAUCCAGGCCCUACGGGGCGCAGCACGCGCGAAAACUUUACAAUGCGGGAAACCGUGAUAAGGGAACUCCGAGUGCCCGUUAAAUCGGGCUGUCCACCAGUUUAAACAACUGGUGAAGAAAGGGCCGGGCAAGACCGGUGCCAGCCGCCGCGGUAAUACCGGCGGCUCGAGUGGUGGCCACUAUUACUGGGCUUAAAGCGUUCGUAGCUGGUUUGUUAAGUCUCUGGGGAAAUCUACCGGCUUAACCGGUAGGCGUCUCAGGGAUACUGGCAGACUAGGGACCGGGAGAGGUGAGAGGUACUCCAGGGGUAGGAGUGAGAUCCUGUAAUCCUUGGGGGACCACCUGUGGCGAAGGCGUCUCACCAGAACGGCUCCGACAGUGAGGGACGAAAGCUGGGGGAGCAAACCGGAUUAGAUACCCGGGUAGUCCCAGCUGUAAACGAUGCGCGUUAGGUGUAUCGGUGACCACGAGUCACCGAGGUGCCGAAGAGAAAUCGUGAAACGUGCCGCCUGGGAAGUACGGUCGCAAGGCUGAAACUUAAAGGAAUUGGCGGGGGAGCAC
This 789-nucleotide ribosomal RNA is filed under the name uncultured Methanomicrobiaceae archaeon. RNAcentral describes it as "bacterial SSU rRNA". It matches the Rfam family "Archaeal small subunit ribosomal RNA", at positions 85 to 879 of the family's 1478-position model. The record is from RNAcentral. Lineage: Archaea; Methanobacteriati; Methanobacteriota; Methanomicrobia; Methanomicrobiales; Methanomicrobiaceae.